Molecule: small nucleolar RNA, 123 nt
Filed under: Myotis brandtii (Brandt's bat)
Lineage: Eukaryota; Metazoa; Chordata; Mammalia; Chiroptera; Vespertilionidae
Description: Small nucleolar RNA SNORA77
Rfam family: Small nucleolar RNA SNORA77
About the family: ACA63 (SNORA77) is a member of the H/ACA class of snoRNAs that guide the sites of modification of uridines to pseudouridines. This snoRNA was identified by computational screening and its expression in mouse experimentally verified by Northern blot and primer extension analysis. ACA63 is proposed to guide the pseudouridylation of 18S rRNA U814.
Source: Rfam by way of RNAcentral
GCCGACGCACUGCGCCCGGCCGCAGUCCCGGGCGGGGCUUUCUUCGUCUGCCACAGAAACAUUCCAGGGCGCUGUGACCGCCUUGACCGGUCAAGGGCGCUGCCACUGCCCGGGGACACGGUU